Molecule: long non-coding RNA, 959 nt
Filed under: Musa acuminata (dwarf banana)
Lineage: Eukaryota; Viridiplantae; Streptophyta; Magnoliopsida; Zingiberales; Musaceae
Description: long non-coding RNA (MACU_LNC000922)
Source: RNAcentral
GCUUUUCCAAGUGACGCCCCUAAUUGAUUUUUACUUAGGGGCACCUCUUCCCUGUACCAGAAGCCUCCGACCGUCGUUGGGCCCCCGCCCUCUACUAUGACCACGGGCGGCGUUGCCCUCUCCUCCUUCCCCUUCCCUUCCCUGCUCAUGUUGUCUUCGAUCGUGAGGAAGGAGGGGGAGAGGUGACCACAGUGGCUUCGGCCUUGCUGAGGGAGCGGGUGACGAGGGCGCCACCACCGAGUGGGGAGGGCGCAGCGACAUGCUACGAUGGCGCCAGCGGAGGAGGCAGUGCUGGUAACAGGGAGGAGGAGAGGGUGGCGCCACUCACCGUCGGAGCGGGGGGCAGUGGAGGCUAUUACGGUCAGAGGCUGCGCAUUUUUGUCGAAUUGAUGCCCGAGGUGAAAACUAGUUAGAGGUGAAUGUAAAAUGCCCAAAUUGGUCCUCCAUGUGAUAGCGGCUUCUUAUUGCCUGUGAUUGUAAAUGCCUACCGGUAAUAAUCGUACCACUCCACGUGGCUUAACUUACCAUGGUAUUUUGUCCUCCAUCAUUCAUCAACGUGGACACGUUCACACUCAGUAUAGAUAUUAUGUGAAACAAUAGAAAGUUUGGCAACUAACUUGUGUGCCAUAUCCUUUCCAGGUUGCUAAAUAUGGAAAGACGUACCGACUUAGUACUCCUUUUUGUUAUUAUUUUAAUGAUAAAUAUUUUUCCUUUCUGUAUAGUUGACUCGAAGACACUAAAAUAGACUUCAUAAAGCGCCGAUUUAAACUAAAUAAAUAGAAAGGGCUACUUGUUUUCUUUUCUUUUUUAAAAUUUAUCUUAUAAUUCCUUUAUUUAAUGAGUUUAUUUAAAAAGAAUCCAAUGAGUGCAGUGCGGAGCUCACCGUCGCCGCCUUGUUUGACCACCAAUUUCCACGUGGUAGUCAACCCAGCCGCCACGCUCACCUGACCCGUUCAACA